AAAGAAAGAAAGAUAUAAGGCGAAAACUGCGACUUGCUGUAAACCAAAUCUACUGUAUAUUGUUGUCUCUGUACACAAACACUGGGCCGACAGACAGACAGACAGACAGAC
Molecule: long non-coding RNA, 111 nt
Organism: Notothenia coriiceps (black rockcod)
Lineage: Eukaryota; Metazoa; Chordata; Actinopteri; Perciformes; Nototheniidae
Exons: 3
Source: RefSeq, a predicted model, not a curated record